This 468-nucleotide ribosomal RNA is filed under the name uncultured bacterium. RNAcentral describes it as "partial 16S ribosomal RNA". It matches the Rfam family "Bacterial small subunit ribosomal RNA", at positions 28 to 507 of the family's 1533-position model. The record is from RNAcentral.
GACGAACGCUGGCGGCGUGCUUAACACAUGCAAGUCGAACGGAAAGGCCCUGCUUUUGUGGGGUGCUCGAGUGGCGAACGGGUGAGUAACACGUGAGUAACCUGACCUUGACUUUGGGAUAACUUCAGGAAACUGGGGCUAAUACCGGAUAGGAGCUCCUGCUGCAUGGUGGGGGUUGGAAAGUUUCGGCGGUUGGGGAUGGACUCGCGGCUUAUCAGCUUGUUGGUGGGGUAGUGGCUUACCAAGGCUUUGACGGGUAGCCGGCCUGAGAGGGUGACCGGCCACAUUGGGACUGAGAUACGGCCCGGACUCCUACGGGAGGCAGCAGUGGGGAAUAUUGCACAAUGGGCGGAAGCCGGAUGCAGCAACGCCGCGUGCGGGAUGACGGCCUUCGGGUUGUAAACCGCUUUCGCCUGUGACGAAGCGUGAGUGACGGUAAUGGGUAAAGAAGCACCGGCUAACUACGUG